CUUAAGAUCUGAAAAACAAAACUGUUAUCACUAAAAACAAAUCUGUUAUCACUAGGAUACUGUCUAG
Molecule: small RNA, 67 nt
Filed under: Arabidopsis thaliana (thale cress)
Lineage: Eukaryota; Viridiplantae; Streptophyta; Magnoliopsida; Brassicales; Brassicaceae
Description: ATSL209790
Source: RNAcentral